RNAcentral lists this unclassified non-coding RNA (329 nucleotides) under soil metagenome. Its description in RNAcentral is "partial contains 5.8S ribosomal RNA, internal transcribed spacer 2, and large subunit ribosomal RNA". The stretch from base 1 to 120 matches the Rfam family "5.8S ribosomal RNA", at positions 35 to 154 of the family's 154-position model. The record is from RNAcentral.
GAUGAAGAACGUAGCAAAAUGCGAUAAGUAGUGUGAAUUGCAGAAUUCAGUGAAUCAUCGAAUCUUUGAACGCACAUUGCGCCCCCUGGUAUUCCGGGGGGCAUGCCUGUCCGAGCGUCAUUACAACCCUCAAGCUCUGCUUGGUGUUGGGCCCCGCCGCCCCGGCGGGCCCUAAAGUCAGUGGCGGUGCCAUCCGGCUCCGAGCGUAGUAAUUCUUCUCGCUCUGGAGGUCCGGUUGUGUGCUUGCCAUCAACCCCCAAUUUUUUUCAGGUUGACCUCGGAUCAGGUAGGGAUACCCGCUGAACUUAAGCAUAUCAAUAAGCGGAGGA